Pogona vitticeps (central bearded dragon) is the source of this 1561-nucleotide long non-coding RNA. NCBI's taxonomy places the organism in Eukaryota, Metazoa, Chordata, Lepidosauria, Squamata, Agamidae. The record is from Ensembl.
AUUGAAAAUUAGGGUUAGGGUUAGGGUUAGGGUUAGGGUUAGGGUUAGGGUUAGGGUUAGGGUUAGGGUUAGGGUUAGGGUUAGGGUUAGGGUUAGGGUUAGGGUUAGGGUUAGGGUUAGGGUUAGGGUUAGGGUUAGGGUUAGGGUUAGGGUUAGGGUUAGGGUUAGGGUUAGGGUUAGGGUUAGGGUUAGGGUUAGGGUUAGGGUUAGGGUUAGGGUUAGGGUUAGGGUUAGGGUUAGGGUUAGGGUUAGGGUUAGGGUUAGGGUUAGGGUUAGGGUUAGGGUUAGGGUUAGGGUUAGGGUUAGGGUUAGGGUUAGGGUUAGGGUUAGGGUUAGGGUUAGGGUUAGGGUUAGGGUUAGGGUUAGGGUUAGGGUUAGGGUUAGGGUUAGGGUUAGGGUUAGGGUUAGGGUUAGGGUUAGGGUUAGGGUUAGGGUUAGGGUUAGGGUUAGGGUUAGGGUUAGGGUUAGGGUUAGGGUUAGGGUUAGGGUUAGGGUUAGGGUUAGGGUUAGGGUUAGGGUUAGGGUUAGGGUUAGGGUUAGGGUUAGGGUUAGGGUUAGGGUUAGGGUUAGGGUUAGUGUUACGGUUACGGUUAGAGUAAGGGUUAGGAUGAGGGUUAAGGUUAGGGUUAUGGUCAUUGUGAAGGUUACGGUUAGGGUUAGGUUUGGGGUUGGGGUUAGGGUUAGGGCUAGGGUUAGGGUUAGGGUUCGGGUUAGGGAUAGGGUUAGGAUUAGGGUUAGGGUUAGGAUUAGGAUGAGGAUAAGGGUUAAAACCAUGCUUGGAAUUAGGGUUAGGGUUCGGGUUAGGGAUAGGGUUAGGAUUAGGGUUAGGGUUAGGAUUAGGAUGAGGAUAAGGGUUAAAACCAUGCUUGGAAUUAGGGUUAGGGUUCGGGUUAGGGAUAGGGUUAGGAUUAGGGUUAGGGUUAGGAUUAGGAUUAGUGUUAAAACCAAGCUAAGGGUUAGGGUUACGGUUAGGGUUAGGGUUAGGAUUAGGAUUAGGGUUAGGGGUAGGGUUAGGGCUACGACCAGGGUUAGGGUUAGGGUUAUGGUUGCGGUAACGGUGUGGGUUAGGGAUAGGGAUAGGUUUUGAUUUAGGGUUAGGGUCAGGGAUAGGGUUAGGGUUAGUGUUAGGGUGAGGGUUAUGGUUGCGGUAACGGUGAGGAUGAGGGAUAGGUAUAGGGUUUGAUUUGGGAUUUGGGUUAGGUUUAGGGUUAGGGUUAGGGUUAGGGUUAGGGUUAGGGUUAGGGUUAGGGUUAGGGUUAGGGUUAGGGUUAGGGUUAGGGUUAGGGUUAGGGUUAGGGUUAGGGUUAGGGUUAGGCUUAGACUUAGGUUUAGGCGGGGGGUUAGUGUUAGGUUUAGGGUUAGGGUUAGGCUUAGGCUUAGGGUUAGGGUUAGGGUUAGGGUUAAGGUUAGGGUUAGGAUUAGGAUUAGGAUUAGGAUUAGGAUUAGUGUUAAAACCAGUCUUGGAGUUAGGGUUUUGGUUAGUGUUAGUGUUAGUGUUAGUGUAAGUGUUAGGAUUAGGAUUAGAAUAAGGAUUAGGAUUAGGAUUAGGAUUAGGAUUAGG